GUGCCAGCAGCCGCGGUAAUACGGAGGGUGCAAGCGUUAAUCGGAAUUACUGGGCGUAAAGCGCAUGCAGGUGGUUUGUUAAGUCAGAUGUGAAAGCCCUGGGCUCAACCUAGGAAUCGCAUUUGAAACUGACAAGCUAGAGUACUGUAGAGGGGGGUAGAAUUUCAGGUGUAGCGGUGAAAUGCGUAGAGAUCUGAAGGAAUACCGGUGGCGAAGGCGGCCCCCUGGACAGAUACUGACACUCAGAUGCGAAAGCGUGGGGAGCAAACAGGAUUAGAUACCC
Molecule: ribosomal RNA, 283 nt
Filed under: Vibrio sp. BacPol7
Lineage: Bacteria; Pseudomonadati; Pseudomonadota; Gammaproteobacteria; Vibrionales; Vibrionaceae
Description: partial 16S ribosomal RNA
Rfam family: Bacterial small subunit ribosomal RNA
Source: RNAcentral